Molecule: ribosomal RNA, 433 nt
Filed under: uncultured bacterium
Lineage: Bacteria
Description: partial 16S ribosomal RNA
Rfam family: Bacterial small subunit ribosomal RNA
Source: RNAcentral
AACGAACGCUGGCGGCAUGCCUAACACAUGCAAGUCGAACGAGACCUUCGGGUCUAGUGGCGCACGGGUGCGUAACGCGUGGGAACCUGCCCUUAGGUUCGGAAUAACUCCCCGAAAGGGGUGCUAAUACCAGAUAAUGUCUUCGGACCAAAGAUUUAUCGCCUUUGGAUGGGCCCGCGUUGGAUUAGCUAGUUGGUAGGGUAAAAGCCUACCAAGGCGACGAUCCAUAGCUGGUCUGAGAGGAUGAUCAGCCACACUGGGACUGAGACACGGCCCAGACUCCUACGGGAGGCAGCAGUGGGGAGUAUUGGACAAUGGGCGAAAGCCUGAUCCAGCAAUGCCGCGUGAGUGAUGAAGGCCUUAGGGUUGUAAAGCUCUUUUACCCGGGAUGAUAAUGACAGUACCGGGAGAAUAAGCUCCGGCUAACUCCGGG